RNAcentral lists this ribosomal RNA (647 nucleotides) under uncultured bacterium. RNAcentral's name for it is "bacterial SSU rRNA". The stretch from base 1 to 550 matches the Rfam family "Bacterial small subunit ribosomal RNA", at positions 338 to 873 of the family's 1533-position model. The record is from RNAcentral.
CCUACGGGAGGCAGCAGUGGGGAAUUUUGGACAAUGGGCGAAAGCCUGAUCCAGCCAUUCCGCGUGAGUGAAGAAGGCCUUCGGGUUGUAAAGCUCUUUCGCAAGGGAAGAAAACUUAGUCUCUAACAUAGACUGAGGUUGACGGUACCUUGAUAAGAAGCACCGGCUAACUACGUGCCAGCAGCCGCGGUAAUACGUAGGGUGCGAGCGUUAAUCGGAAUUACUGGGCGUAAAGCGUGCGCAGGCGGUUUUGUAAGUCAGAUGUGAAAUCCCCGAGCUCAACUUGGGAACUGCGUUUGAAACUACAAGACUAGAAUAUGUCAGAGGGGGGUAGAAUUCCACGUGUAGCAGUGAAAUGCGUAGAGAUGUGGAGGAAUACCAAUGGCGAAGGCAGCCCCCUGGGAUAAUAUUGACGCUCAUGCACGAAAGCGUGGGGAGACAAACGAGGAUUAGACUACCGUGGUAGUCCACGACCCUAAACGAUGUACUACUAGUUGUUGGUAGAAGUAAACUCAUGAGUACGCAGCUAACGCGUAGAAGUACGACCGCGUGGGGACGUCGGUCGACGAAGUAAUUAAACCUACGAAAAGGUAAAGUUAGGUACGGACGUGAGACGUACGACCGACGACGACGACGGAGGGAGGAGG